AUGGGGCUCUGGCAGAGACCAGCGACUCAUCUGUCCCAGCAAAAGCCACCACAGCAGCCGGACGCCUCCCUUCCUCGUGCUCUGGCGGCAGCCGUCACCCUCAUCAAGGAAGCUCACACUGAUGCUGCCUUGUUCACAGUGGACAGCAGCUCCACCCAGGACAGAGAAGGCUUGGCAGGAUACGCUGUCACCGCCACAGAUGAAGUCACUGAAGCGGGGCCCUUCCCAAAGGCUGGCCUGGGGGGCAGUGGGGGCCUGUAUGAAGCCUCGGCCCCCCGGAGCUGCCUAUACCUCCACCGCACCACGCAGUUUCUGCUGCAGCUGCUGAGAGAACAAGGCAAUGGCCACAUCAUCUCCUGGACCUCAAGGGAUGGUGGUGAGUUCACACUGGUGGAUGCAGAGGAGGUGGCCCGGCUGUGGGGACUGCGCAAGAACAAGACCAACAUGAAUUAUGACAAGCUGAGAGCAGCAGUUCCCCCUUCAGGGAGCAGGAGCACCAGUCCAAAUCCCCUGGAGGCCUGUCUAGAGGCAGAAGAGGUGGGCCUGCCUCUGCAGGUCAUCCUGACUCCACCUGAGGUUCCAAACCUGAAAUCAGAAGAGCUGAAUGUGGAGUCAAGUUUGGGCCGGCCACUUCCCCCAGAAGUGAAGGUGGAGGGGCACAAGGAAGAAUUGGAAGCUGCUAGGGAAGUGGGGUUUGUGCCAGAAGCUGCCAAGGCUGAACCGGAAGUCCCUCCUGCGGAGGGUGUGCCGGCCCGGCUGCCUCCAGUUAUGGAGACUACAGCACAAGUAGGUGGCCGUGUGGUCUCCACCCCUGAGAUCAACCAGCCACAGAAGGGUCGGAAACCCCGGGACCUGGAGCUUCCACUCAGCCCAAGCCUGCUGGGUGGGCCAGGACCUGAACGGACUCCAGGAUCAGGAACUGGCUCUGGUCUGCAGACACUGGGGCCAGCACUGACACCAUCCCUGUUUACCUACACACACAUUGACCCCGGUGCUGCUGACGCCCAGCUAGCUGCCUCCCAGCAUUCACUUCUGGAGCACGCUGAGACCCAUCGUGCAGCGUAGCCCGGCCAAACUCUCCUUCGUUUCCGUCCAGUGGCAGCGCCCAUGUGCACAUCCCUUCCAUCAGCGUGGAUGGCCUCUCGACCCCCGUGGUGCUCUCCCCAGGGCCCCAGAAGCCAUGACUACCACCACCACUGCCCCUUCUGGGGUCACUCCAUCCAUGCCCAUGGACUUCUCUCCAGCCAGCCAUCUCAAGGAGAAACAUAGUUUAUCUAACAGACUUGUGCUCUGGUUGUACUGGGGUGGGAUUCCUGGGAAGAAGAAUCUCUUACACUAACUUGUCCUUGGAAAACAUACCAUUUCUCUCUUCUUCGUCAGUCCCCCAGUGGCCGCCCUUGUACAUCUCCUACUUCAAUGGUAGGGAUGGUUUAUUUAUUUAUUUUUUGAAGGUCACUGGAAGGAGCCUGGCCCAACCCUUUUAGAGGGGUGGUUAAGACAUCUCCCCCCAUCUCCCCACUCUUUUUUCCCCAAGGCAAGACAAUCAGGGUCUGGCUUGAGAAAGACAUUUCUUUAUUUAUUUCUUGGCCUGCCCUUGGGGAGAUGAGGGAGCCCUGUCUACAUUUUGGGGUAGGGUAGAAGAGCUAGUUUGUUUUGUUAUUCCUGGCCAUACCUAAGGGUCUAGGAAGAAUCUGUAUGGCUUCAGAGUUUGGGAAUCCUCAACAAGGAGGAAUUACACCCUUGGAAUUUGAAUUACCACCUCUCCAACCUCUCUCAGAUAGUUUGUCCUUUUAUCAACUAACAUUUUGGCCAGGGAGAAACAAGCCUCUUAUUCUUCUCCCCCCUGAGAAGCCAUUCCUUUGUCUGCCAAACUCCCUGGGGUCCUGCCUGUUACCUCUCAAUGGAGGGUUUUCUUGGGAGGUAGUCCCCGUCUGGGGGAUCCCUCCAGCCAGUACUCCAGGUCUCCUUGUCUCCCACCCCCUGCCAUUUUGAUAGUAUAAUCUAUUUUCAAAUGGGGCUUUUCAAUAUGGGAGAGGGAGGCAUCUCUUCCUAUAUCUGA
Molecule: RNA transcript, 2059 nt
Organism: Octodon degus (degu)
Lineage: Eukaryota; Metazoa; Chordata; Mammalia; Rodentia; Octodontidae
Gene name: ETS domain-containing protein Elk-1-like
Exons: 4
Source: RefSeq, a predicted model, not a curated record